UACGGAGGGUGGCAGCGUUGUCCGGAAUCAUUGGGCGUAAAGGGCGCGUAGGUGGCUUCUUAAGCGUGCGGUGAAAGCCUGGGGCUCAACCCCGGGUCGGCCGUGCGAACUGGGGGGCUGGAGCACUGUAGAGGCAGGCGGAAUUCCGCGUGUAGCAGUGAAAUGCGUAGAGAUGCGGAGGAACACCGAUGGCGAAGGCAGCCCCCUGGGCUGACACUGACGCUCAGGACACGAA
RNAcentral lists this ribosomal RNA (235 nucleotides) under uncultured bacterium. RNAcentral describes it as "partial 16S ribosomal RNA". It matches the Rfam family "Bacterial small subunit ribosomal RNA", at positions 524 to 757 of the family's 1533-position model. The record is from RNAcentral.